RNAcentral lists this ribosomal RNA (440 nucleotides) under uncultured bacterium. RNAcentral describes it as "partial 16S ribosomal RNA". It matches the Rfam family "Bacterial small subunit ribosomal RNA", at positions 338 to 795 of the family's 1533-position model. The record is from RNAcentral.
CCUACGGGUGGCAGCAGUGGGGGAUCUUGCACAAUGGGGGAAACCCUGAUGCAGCGACGCCGCGUGUGGGAAGACGGUCCUCUGGAUUGUAACCCACUGUCUCCAGGGACGAUGAUGACGGUACCUGGGGAGGAAGCUCCGCCUAACUACGUGCCAGCAGCCGCGGUAAUACGUAGGGGGCAAGCGUUGUCCGGAAUUCCUGGGUGUAAAGGGAGCGUAGGCGGGAUGGCAAGUUGGGUGUUAAAUCUACGGGCUCAACUUGUCGUCGUACUCAAAACUGCUAUGCUUGAGUGAAGUAGAGGCAGGCGGAAUUCCUAGUGUAGGAGUGAAAUGCGUAGAUAUUAGGAGGAACACCAGUGGCGAAGGCAGGCUGCUGGGCUUGUACUGACGCUGAGGCUCGAAAGUGUAGGGAGCAAACAGGAUUAGAUACCCUAGUAGUC